UCCCCUAUGGCUCAGCGGGUUAAGAAUCUGCCUGAAAUGCAGGAGACCUGGGUUCGAUCCCCGGGUUGGGAA
Transfer RNA from Ovis aries (sheep), 72 nucleotides. It matches the Rfam family "tRNA". Rfam says of the family: Transfer RNA (tRNA) molecules are approximately 80 nucleotides in length. Their secondary structure includes four short double-helical elements and three loops (D, anti-codon, and T loops). Lineage: Eukaryota; Metazoa; Chordata; Mammalia; Artiodactyla; Bovidae. The record is from Rfam.